RNAcentral lists this long non-coding RNA (434 nucleotides) under Nicotiana benthamiana. RNAcentral's name for it is "long non-coding RNA (NBEN_LNC031722)". Lineage: Eukaryota; Viridiplantae; Streptophyta; Magnoliopsida; Solanales; Solanaceae. The record is from RNAcentral.
AUAGUUUUUUGAAAGAAUAUCAAGAAAAUAGUUUGAAAACUUAGGGAAAUCAUAGAUCUGGAACAGAUCUAAAGAGAUCAGUAAAACUUCAAAAGCUAGGGUUUUCAGAGGAACCCAAAGGAUGAGAAAGACUUGGAUCUAAGUAGGAGGGGUUGAGGCCAGGUUCAAAACAGACAUGGCUUGCCGGAGCAGGGUCGGGAUGGCCGUAAAGCUUGAACCAACAGAGGUAUGGAUACAACUCUUCAUGGUCAAGUCAUGAAACUUCAGUAACCAAGCGUGAGGAGCCAUAGGGGGCUGAUGGGUGGUGAAACCACCAUGGAUUCAGGCCAAGAGGUGACCGGAGAAGAUGAAGGAAACUCAUCGAAAAUGCGGAGAGGGGGAGGGUUCUAGAGAGAACUAGAGAUAGAGAGAUAGAGACAAGUGAGGAAAAAGAG